This is a long non-coding RNA of Drosophila nasuta, 585 nucleotides long. RefSeq lists it as uncharacterized. NCBI's taxonomy places the organism in Eukaryota, Metazoa, Arthropoda, Insecta, Diptera, Drosophilidae. The transcript is spliced from 3 exons. The record is from RefSeq and is a predicted model, not a curated record.
GCUUGUCGUUUGUUGCUUGUUGCUGGGCGGCAGCCAGAUCUGAGAUCGGGUCGCGAGUGUCGCGCGUUCUCUUUGCUGCCCGGGUUGGCUGGCUGUGACUAGUUUUUCUUUCUUUAUUAUCAACCUCACAUUGACAGCCAACAACGAGAUGCAAUUCUACAAGUAAUAUAUAUUUAUUGCUCGUUACACAAAUCGAGUUGCCCCCUUUCUUCCCCUUCCCCUCUUCAGCGGCAUAUCAAUUGAUGGCAUAAAAAAUCGCACAGGUGCUGAAUGACUCUUGUGUCUCGUGGCCGCCCUUAGACAACGCCGGCACAUCUCAAAGUGAUUCGACUUUAAAUUGCAACACACCAAAUAGGCUAUAAAUCACCCAAUUUUGAUUUUGCGGUUUUAAGCUUGUGAAACUUGCCACAACAUUGAGCUCCAAGAUGCUUUCACAAUUUUCUUCUUAUAUAUAACGUAAUAAAAAAAACCCAGCUAAGCCACAAAUGUGCCAUCAACAUUGUAUGUAUUGCACAUAUAUUAGCGAACGGUGCUGUAGGCUAUCGAAACAUAUGCCUAAAGCUUACUAAUUAGCGACUUUACCAA